RNAcentral lists this ribosomal RNA (234 nucleotides) under Proteus mirabilis. RNAcentral's name for it is "partial 23S ribosomal RNA". It matches the Rfam family "Bacterial large subunit ribosomal RNA", at positions 1933 to 2166 of the family's 2925-position model. Lineage: Bacteria; Pseudomonadati; Pseudomonadota; Gammaproteobacteria; Enterobacterales; Morganellaceae. The record is from RNAcentral.
GCCGUAACUAUAACGGUCCUAAGGUAGCGAAAUUCCUUGUCGGGUAAGCUCCGACCUGCACGAAUGGCGUAAUGAUGGCCAGGCUGUCUCCACCCGAGACUCAGUGAAAUUGAACUCGCUGUGACGAUGCAGUGUACCCGCGGCAAGACGGAAAGACCCCGUGACCCUUUACUAUAGCUUGACACUGAACAUUGAGCCUUGAUGUGUAGGAUAGGUGGGAGGCUUUGAAGUGUG